AUUGAACGCUGGCGGAAUGCUUUACACAUGCAAGUCGAACGGCAGCACGGGGGCAACCCUGGUGGCGAGUGGCGAACGGGUGAGUAAUACAUCGGAACGUGCCCGGUCGUGGGGGAUAACGUAGCGAAAGUUACGCUAAUACCGCAUACGAUCUGAGGAUGAAAGCGGGGGACCUUCGGGCCUCGCGCGAUCGGAGCGGCCGAUGUCAGAUUAGGUAGUUGGUGGGGUAAAGGCCUACCAAGCCGACGAUCUGUAGCUGGUCUGAGAGGACGACCAGCCACACUGGGACUGAGACACGGCCCAGACUCCUACGGGAGGCAGCAGUGGGGAAUUUUGGACAAUGGGCGCAAGCCUGAUCCAGCCAUUCCGCGUGCAGGACGAAGGCCUUCGGGUUGUAAACUGCUUUUGUACGGAACGAAAAGGCUCUGGCUAAUACCUGGGGCUCAUGACGGUACCGUAAGAAUAAGCACCGGCUAACUACGCG
RNAcentral lists this ribosomal RNA (484 nucleotides) under uncultured bacterium. Its description in RNAcentral is "partial 16S ribosomal RNA". It matches the Rfam family "Bacterial small subunit ribosomal RNA", at positions 30 to 507 of the family's 1533-position model. The record is from RNAcentral.